This 425-nucleotide ribosomal RNA is filed under the name uncultured bacterium. Its description in RNAcentral is "partial 16S ribosomal RNA". It matches the Rfam family "Bacterial small subunit ribosomal RNA", at positions 354 to 796 of the family's 1533-position model. The record is from RNAcentral.
GUGGGGAAUCUUGCGCAAUGGGCGAAAGCCUGACGCAGCCAUGCCGCGUGGAUGAUGAAGGUCUUAGGAUUGUAAAAUCCUUUCACCGGUGAAGAUAAUGACUGUAGCCGGAAAAGAAGCCCCGGCUAACUUCGUGCCAGCAGCCGCGGUAAUACGAAGGGGGCUAGCGUUGCUCGGAUUUACUGGGCGUAAAGGGCGCGUAGGCGGACAUUUAAGUCAGGGGUGAAAUCCCGGGGCUCAACCUCGGAACUGCCUUUGAUACUGGGUGUCUUGAGUAUGAGAGAGGUGUGUGGAACUCCGAGUGUAGAGGUGAAAUUCGUAGAUAUUCGGAAGAACACCAGUGGCGAAGGCGACACACUGGCUCAUUACUGACGCUGAGGCGCGAAAGCGUGGGGAGCAAACAGGAUUAGAUACCCUGGUAGUCC